UGGGGAAUAUUGCACAAUGGGGGAAACCCUGAUGCAGCGACGCCGCGUGAGCGAAGAAGGCUUUCGAGUCGUAAAGCUCUGUCCUAUGAGAAGAUAAUGACGGUAUCAUAGGAGGAAGCCCUGGCUAAAUACGUGCCAGCAGCCGCGGUAAUACGUAUGGGGCGAGCGUUGUCCGGAAUUAUUGAGCGUAAAGGGUACGUAGGCGGUUUUUUAAGUCAGGUGUCAAAGCGUGGAGCUUAACUCCAUUAAGCACUUGAAACUGAAAGACUUGAGAGAAGGAGAGGAAAGUGGAAUUCCUAGUGUAGCGGUGAAAUGCGUAGAUAUUAGGAGGAAUACCGGUGGCGAAGGCGACUUUCUGGACUUUUACUGACGCUCAGGUACGAAAGCGUGGGGAGCAAACAGG
RNAcentral lists this ribosomal RNA (403 nucleotides) under Verrucomicrobiota bacterium. RNAcentral describes it as "Verrucomicrobia bacterium partial 16S ribosomal RNA". It matches the Rfam family "Bacterial small subunit ribosomal RNA", at positions 355 to 776 of the family's 1533-position model. Lineage: Bacteria; Pseudomonadati; Verrucomicrobiota. The record is from RNAcentral.